AUUUAAUAUGUACUGUUAGGUGCUGUUAUUUUAGAAGACAUUUAAAUAACAGUUAAAAGGAAAAGUGUAAAAAACACUGCAGCCCACCGUUACUGUAUGGAGGAUGAAACCUUAUUUAUGUCACUGGUGAAAUAGAGCCGGGAAGACGAGGAAGUAAGAUGAACCUUAGCCAGGAAGCCUGCCUGAUAUGUUGUUAAUUCU
RNAcentral lists this non-coding RNA (201 nucleotides) under Clostridiaceae bacterium BL-3. Lineage: Bacteria; Bacillati; Bacillota; Clostridia; Eubacteriales; Clostridiaceae. The record is from RNAcentral.